AUUUAAAGAAUUAUAUUACCGUAUCCUCACAGCUAUGAAAUAGCGUUGUUAAUUGUUCAAAACACAGUCAGGAUAGUUGAAAAAUGUGUGUUAAAGUUGUCCCAUUUUACCGACACAGGGCUGUAUGUAUAGUUUUUGUAUUUUAUGUUUCGUACAGUCUAAAAGCGAAUAACUAUCAGUGUAUUCUUGUGAUUUGAUUGUUUACUACGUGUUCACACAAGUCGCAGAAAUUCCGGCAAAAUAAUUAUUGCUGUAAUUUUCACAAUCCGCUGUUACUAUAAAUAGAUUCAGUGUUACCUGAUGUUAAGUUACUCCUUAUUAAAUCCUACCAUGAAACUUUCCAACUCGUUUAAUAUAAAGGCAGCACUGGGAGCUGAAAUUCGCGCGAGAUUCAAUUAGGCAUUGUUCCGUCAUUUCUCAACGUUGAUCCUAGCAAUUAACCAAUCAGCUCCCAGCUUUCCACGUGAUCAACACGUUUUCGUUUUUGCCAAUGUAAGUUUGGGGCGAGACUUCAUCUUUUUGGUUGCCACCAUUUUGGAAUAAGCAUUAGCGUUAAGCAGUUGAAGUCAUAUUGUAGUUAAGUGAAGGCAGCCAGGUUAUGACAAAGACUUGUUUUAGCUUUAAGUAUGCAAUAUAUGAGCAAUAUAGUUGAUUUAUUUCGUUUUAUUAAUAUUUAACGUUUGAUUUACAGCUGACUAUGAAAAUAAUUCAUUAAAAUUUAAACUAUUUAAAUCUCACACUGAAGCAAUAUUGACCGAAGUCUUGUGUUCAAAUCACAUCAAUGUUAUCUCGCUCACGAAUGAAGAUGCGUCGAGUGACAACCGCCGAUGCAGCUUUGGAUUGGCAACGUUGAAAAAAAGAGACAAAGACGGAACGAAAAGCUCAAGAACGAAGAUGGAGCCAUAGCAUACCCAGACUAAGAUUUAUUCUUAGUCGAUGUAAAUACUAACUUAUGUGAGCUGUAGCA
Non-coding RNA from Ciona intestinalis (vase tunicate), 967 nucleotides. The record is from RefSeq and is a predicted model, not a curated record. Lineage: Eukaryota; Metazoa; Chordata; Ascidiacea; Phlebobranchia; Cionidae.